ACCCGACUGCUAUCGGAUUGAGAUUUAGCCAUGCGAGUCGAACGUUCCCCUGUUGCGGGGAGCGUGGCGUACGGCUCAGUAACACGUAGUCAACCUGCCCUAGAGACAUGGACAACCCCGGGAAACUGGGAUUAAUCCGUGAUAGGUCAUCUCAUCUGGAAGGAGAGAUGGCUUAAAGGGGUGCGAGAGCUUCUUUCUUGUAGUCGCUCUAGGAUGGGACUGCGGCCGAUCAGGCUGUUGGUGGGGUAAUGGCCCACCAAACCUGUAACCGGUACGGGCCUUGAGAGAGGGGGCCCGGAGAUGGACACUGAGAGAAGGGUCCAGGUCCUACGGGGCGCAGCAGGCGCGAAACCUUCACAAUGCGCGAAAGCGUGAUGAGGUUAAUCCGAGUGGUCCCCGCUGAGGGGAUCUUUUGUUGGCUCUAAAACGGCCAGUGAAUAAGGGGAGGGCAAGUCUGGUGUCAGCCGCCGCGGUAAUACCAGCUCCUCGAGUGGUCGGGGCGAUUAUUGGGCCUAAAGCAUCCGUAGCCUGUUCUGUAGGUCCGCUGUUAAAUCCAACGGCUUAACCGUUGGCCUGCAGCGGAUACCGCAGGACUAGGAGGCGGGAGAGGUGGACGGUACUCCACGUGUAGGGGUAAAAUCCUUUGAUCCGUGGAAGACCACCAGUGGCGAAGGCGGUCCACCAGAACGCGCUCGACGGUGAGGGAUGAAAGCUGGGGGAGCGAACCGGGUUAGAUACCCGGGUAGUCCCAGCCGUAAACGAUGCUAGCUAGAUGAUUCAUUCGCAAGUCGCGAAUGAAGUGUCGCAGGGAAGCCGUUAAGCUAGCCGCCUGGGGAGUACGGUCGCAAGACUGAAACUUAA
RNAcentral lists this ribosomal RNA (861 nucleotides) under uncultured archaeon. RNAcentral describes it as "bacterial SSU rRNA". It matches the Rfam family "Archaeal small subunit ribosomal RNA", at positions 21 to 859 of the family's 1478-position model. The record is from RNAcentral.